UCCCACCUAAAGCCUUACAUGUGCACAGU
This 29-nucleotide non-coding RNA is filed under the name Mus musculus (house mouse). The record is from RNAcentral. Lineage: Eukaryota; Metazoa; Chordata; Mammalia; Rodentia; Muridae.